AUACUAAUGGUUGCAUAGUUCAGCUGAUCAAAUCAUGGAGAGAUUUAAAAUAUGUCUGCUGUU
This 63-nucleotide small nucleolar RNA is filed under the name Castor canadensis (American beaver). Its description in RNAcentral is "Small nucleolar RNA SNORD77 (ENSCCNG00000003807.1)". It matches the Rfam family "Small nucleolar RNA SNORD77". From Rfam's summary of the family: U77 belongs to the C/D family of snoRNAs. It is predicted to guide 2'O-ribose methylation of large 28S rRNA subunit at position A1521. The C/D snoRNAs U44, U47, U74, U75, U76, U78, U79, U80 and U81 share the same host gene as U77 (non-coding). The record is from Rfam by way of RNAcentral. Lineage: Eukaryota; Metazoa; Chordata; Mammalia; Rodentia; Castoridae.